GAUUAACGCUAGCGGCAGGCCUAAUACAUGCAAGUCGAACGGCAGCACGGGUAGCAAUACCUGGUGGCGAGUGGCGCACGGGUGCGUAACGCGUAUGCAAUCUACCUAUAACUGGGGAAUAGCCUUCCGAAGGAAGAUUAACACCGCAUAAUAUCACGAAACGGCAUCGCUUUGUGAUCAAAUCUCCGGAGGUUAUAGAUGAGCAUGCGUGACAUUAGCUAGUUGGUGAGGUAACGGCCCACCAAGGCUACG
RNAcentral lists this ribosomal RNA (252 nucleotides) under uncultured bacterium. RNAcentral's name for it is "partial 16S ribosomal RNA". It matches the Rfam family "Bacterial small subunit ribosomal RNA", at positions 28 to 278 of the family's 1533-position model. The record is from RNAcentral.